Molecule: ribosomal RNA, 253 nt
Filed under: uncultured bacterium
Lineage: Bacteria
Description: partial 16S ribosomal RNA
Rfam family: Bacterial small subunit ribosomal RNA
Source: RNAcentral
UACGUAGGCAGCAAGCGUUGUUCGGAAUUACUGGGCGUAAAGCGAGUGUAGGCGGUUCGUUAAGUUUGGUGUGAAAUCUCCCGGCUCAACUGGGAGGGUGCGCCGAAGACUGUCGAGCUAGAGUGUGGGAGAGGUAGGCGGAAUUCCUGGUGUAGCGGUGAAAUGCGUAGAUAUCAGGAGGAACACCUGCGGUGUAGACGGCUUACUGGACCACGACUGACGCUGCAACUCGAAAGUGUGGGGAGCAAACAGG